CGAACUUCGACAGUUGAAUACUCCUCUAUUUGGUCCGCUUUUAGGAAUUUAUUUUAUCAAUAAUGGCUUCUGGAAUCAAAGUUUUCCUUUUGUUGGUCGUUCUGGUUGCUGUGGCACAGGCCAAUGAUGAAGACGAUACCUUUUCAAUGGACGAUCCUCCGUGUUCUGCUUCUCAUCCUCAYUCGGUUUGCCAGGAUUCAUGUGCCAUGUUUGACACUCAAAUUGCAGAAGGUUCGUGCUCUGGAGAGGAAGUUUGCUGUGAUCCCUUAUUCUAUUAAGGUAUGUUUGAAUUCUGAACUAAGUCAAAGCCGAGUAAAGAACGAUGAAUUCAAUACUAGUUGUAUCUUAAACUAAUACUUGUGAUCGUAAUCAAUAAAACCAAUAUAAURAACAAGAUAUCAGUUGAGUAUUAAGACUUUGCACUAUCACGUGGCUGGUUGGCAUAGCAACAAGAUCACAUUUUUAUGAUUCAUUAAGUGAAAUUAAAAGCAUAUUAAAAUAGUCUGGAAAAACAAA
Molecule: long non-coding RNA, 516 nt
Organism: Actinia tenebrosa (Australian red waratah sea anemone)
Lineage: Eukaryota; Metazoa; Cnidaria; Anthozoa; Actiniaria; Actiniidae
Source: RefSeq, a predicted model, not a curated record